UGCACCGCGGGUCCAUCCAUCAGCGACACCCGAAAGCGCCUUUCACUCUUAUGCCAUGCGGCAUAAACUGUUAUGCGGUAUUAGCACCUGUUUCCAAGUGUUAUCCCCCUCUGAUGGGUAGGUUACCCACGUGUUACUCACCCGUCCGCCACUCCUCUUUCCAAUUGAGUGCAAGCACUCGGGAGGAAAGAAGCGUUCGACUUGCAUGUAUUAGGCACGCCGCCAGCGUUCGU
This 233-nucleotide ribosomal RNA is filed under the name uncultured Enterococcus sp. Its description in RNAcentral is "partial 16S ribosomal RNA". Lineage: Bacteria; Bacillati; Bacillota; Bacilli; Lactobacillales; Enterococcaceae. The record is from RNAcentral.